GUACUUCAGUAGCACACAUACUAAAAUUGGAAAGAUACAGAGAGGUUUAGCAUGUCCCCUGCACAAAGACAAUGUGCAAAUUUCUAAAGUAUUCCACAAAUGC
Molecule: small nuclear RNA, 103 nt
Filed under: Neogale vison (American mink)
Lineage: Eukaryota; Metazoa; Chordata; Mammalia; Carnivora; Mustelidae
Source: RNAcentral